AUUCAAUUCAAAAUGGUUGACAAAAGGGAGCACCUACCAAUCUACUCCCCUACUCUGCUACUACAUUACAAUUUACAAUUCUCUUCCUCCAACUUUACUGUUUGUUUCCACUUUCUAUGUCCUCCAUAAAAAAUGGCCAAUCUCCCUCUUUAUUCUCUCUUGCUGACUACAGUUCUUUUCCUCUCUCUUUUCUAUUUUUGAAUUUUUUAUUUUCUAGGCAUCUUAUAUGUUUUAAUUUUCAUAAUUAUAAAAAUAUAUUAAUAUCAUAUAGAAGAUGGGGAGGAUCUUAUAGGAGUUUCUCAAUCUAUAUGCUUUUUCGUCUCAUUAAGCACUCAUCAAAUCCCCAUUAUUCCCAAACCAAACAACCAAAUUAGACACCAAACUUUUUCUGAUACACUUUUUUCUUCCUCCUUAAUAUUCUUCGUAACUUGGGGUUCUUCUCUGCUCAGCUUUGCUGCCUCAAAACAAUGAAUGAGCAAUAUUGGAAGAAGAGUGGUCAAAUACCGGUGUUUGGAAACUGGGAAAACGCGAAUGAGCUGCCAAUCACGCAGUACUUCGAGUGCGCGAGGCAGGCGGUCUCCGGGGGAUUGCUUCGCUACAGCAAUUCCUCCUCCGGGGAAUGCCAUUGCCAUCCCUAUGUCUCCGCCGGCGGCGGUGAUCAGCUCCGCGCCAUUGAUUUCAAGAAAUAUCCUCUUCCGACCACCGGCCUUCCACCUCCCCCUCCAAAG
Non-coding RNA from Camellia sinensis, 728 nucleotides. NCBI's taxonomy places the organism in Eukaryota, Viridiplantae, Streptophyta, Magnoliopsida, Ericales, Theaceae. The record is from RefSeq and is a predicted model, not a curated record.